UACAGAGGGGGCAAGCGUUAUUCGGAAUUAUUGGGCGUAAAGGGCGCGUAGGCGGCCAUUCAAGUGACGGGUGAAAGCCCUCGGCUUAACCGAGGAACUGCCUGUCAGACUGGAUGGCUUGAGACCGGGAGAGGUGAGUGGAAUUCCCAGUGUAGCGGUGAAAUGCGUAGAUAUUGGGAGGAACACCAGUGGCGAAGGCGGCUCACUGGACCGGAACUGACGCUGAGGCGCGAAAGCUAGGGGAGCAAACAGG
RNAcentral lists this ribosomal RNA (253 nucleotides) under uncultured bacterium. RNAcentral's name for it is "partial 16S ribosomal RNA". It matches the Rfam family "Bacterial small subunit ribosomal RNA", at positions 524 to 776 of the family's 1533-position model. The record is from RNAcentral.